UGGGGAAUAUUGCACAAUGGGCGAAAGCCUGAUGCAGCAACGCCGCGUGAGUGAUGAAGGCCUUCGGGUCGUAAAACUCUGUCCUCAAGGAAGAUAAU
Molecule: ribosomal RNA, 98 nt
Filed under: uncultured bacterium
Lineage: Bacteria
Description: partial 16S ribosomal RNA
Rfam family: Bacterial small subunit ribosomal RNA
Source: RNAcentral